Molecule: long non-coding RNA, 522 nt
Organism: Brassica oleracea var. oleracea
Lineage: Eukaryota; Viridiplantae; Streptophyta; Magnoliopsida; Brassicales; Brassicaceae
Exons: 3
Source: RefSeq, a predicted model, not a curated record
CAGAAUUGGCUUUGAUAUUUUUUUUUGGCAAGCAAUAAUGAGAAUUAAACCUACCUCUUUCAUCAAUCCUUAUUUUGGUCAUGGCCGUAGUCUCCCACGUCGUCCAUACGACAUCUGUGAAUCUCCUAUUGCGCAACGGAAGAGGGUGGUCAGGCUUCUGAUGAGCUAAGCAACUUACCUGAAUCUGAAUCUGAAACUCGGGAUGAGAAGAUCUCUGAUGCUACUGCCUCCACCUCUGUCAAGGUCAAGCGUGCACGACCAAUCCAUCCGCAUGGCUGAUUUGGCUUUGGAAAAGAAGAAUCACAUUAACACGAAGAAGACACCAACGCUUAAGGCAUUCGAGAGCAAAUCCAGCACCUAAGGCUUCCGUUUAUCCUAUAAUCACCAGAACUACAGUCGCUUUCUAAUUUCCUAGUGCUUUUGUAGGGAUGUUAUCUGCAGCGUUAGAGCACGAUCCUUUUUGUUUAUUAUAACCCCAACCUUAUUUUAACCCAGCCCAUUUGAAAAAAAUUAUUUCAUUUA